This 497-nucleotide ribosomal RNA is filed under the name uncultured bacterium. Its description in RNAcentral is "partial 16S ribosomal RNA". It matches the Rfam family "Bacterial small subunit ribosomal RNA", at positions 28 to 507 of the family's 1533-position model. The record is from RNAcentral.
GAUGAACGCUGGCGGCGUGCCUAAUACAUGCAAGUCGAGCGAACAGACGAGGAGCUUGCUCCUCUGACGUUAGCGGCGGACGGGUGAGUAACACGUGGAUAACCUACCUAUAAGACUGGGAUAACUUCGGGAAACCGGAGCUAAUACCGGAGAAUAUAUUGAACCGCAUGGUUCAAUAGUGAAAGACGGUUUUGCUGUCACUUAUAGAUGGAUCCGCGCCGCAUUAGCUAGUUGGUAAGGUAACGGCUUACCAAGGCAACGAUGCGUAGCCGACCUGAGAGGGGGAUCGGCCACACUGGAACUGAGACACGGUCCAGACUCCUACGGGAGGCAGCAGUAGGGAAUCUUCCGCAAUGGGCGAAAGCCUGACGGAGCAACGCCGCGUGAGUGAUGAAGGUCUUCGGAUCGUAAAACUCUGUUAUUAGUGAAGAACAAAUGUGUAAGUAACUAUGCACGUCGUGACGGUACCUAAUCAGAAAGCCACGGCUAACUACGUG